UACGGAGGAUCCGAGCGUUAUCCGGAUUUAUUGGGUUUAAAGGGUGCGUAGGCGGCCUUUUAAGUCAGCGGUGAAAGUCUGUGGCUCAACCAUAGAAUUGCCGUUGAAACUGGGGGGCUUGAGUAUGUUUGAGGCAGGCGGAAUGCGUGGUGUAGCGGUGAAAUGCAUAGAUAUAACUUAGAACACCGAUAGCGAAGGCAGCUUACCAGACUGAGUCUGACGCUGAUGCACGAGAGCAUGGGUAGCGAACAGG
RNAcentral lists this ribosomal RNA (253 nucleotides) under uncultured Parabacteroides sp. RNAcentral describes it as "partial 16S ribosomal RNA". It matches the Rfam family "Bacterial small subunit ribosomal RNA", at positions 524 to 776 of the family's 1533-position model. Lineage: Bacteria; Pseudomonadati; Bacteroidota; Bacteroidia; Bacteroidales; Tannerellaceae. The record is from RNAcentral.